CUUCAGAGAUGCUUGCAUCUCUGAGACUUAGCGGCGGACGGGUGAGUAACACGUAGGUAACCUGCCUGUAAGACCGGGAUAACAUUCGGAAACGAAUGCUAAUACCGGAUACGCGAAUCGGUCGCAUGACCGGAUCGGGAAAGACGGAGCAAUCUGUCACUUACAGAUGGACCUGCGGCGCAUUAGCUAGUUGGUGAGGUAACGGCUCACCAAGGCGACGAUGCGUAGCCGACCUGAGAGGGUGAUCGGCCACACUGGGACUGAGACACGGCCCAGACUCCUACGGGAGGCAGCAGUAGGGAAUCUUCCGCAAUGGACGAAAGUCUGACGGAGCAACGCCGCGUGAGUGAAGAAGGUUUUCGGAUCGUAAAGCUCUGUUGCCAGGGAAGAACGCUUGGGAGAGUAACUGCUCUCAAGGUGACGGUACCUGAGAAGAAAGCCCCGGCUAACUACGUGCCAGCAGCCGCGGUAAUACGUAGGGGGCAAGCGUUGUCCGGAAUUAUUGGGCGUAAAGCGCGCGCAGGCGGCUGAUUAAGUUCGGUGUUUAACCCCGGGGCUCAACCCCGGGUCGCACUGGAAACUGGUUGGCUUGAGUGCAGAAGAGGAAAGUGGAAUUCCACGUGUAGCGGUGAAAUGCGUAGAGAUGUGGAGGAACACCAGUGGCGAAGGCGACUUUCUGGGCUGUAACUGACGCUGAGGCGCGAAAGCGUGGGGAGCAAACAGG
This 724-nucleotide ribosomal RNA is filed under the name uncultured Bacillota bacterium. Its description in RNAcentral is "bacterial SSU rRNA". It matches the Rfam family "Bacterial small subunit ribosomal RNA", at positions 67 to 776 of the family's 1533-position model. The record is from RNAcentral. Lineage: Bacteria; Bacillati; Bacillota.